Gymnodraco acuticeps is the source of this 2066-nucleotide long non-coding RNA. RefSeq lists it as uncharacterized. Lineage: Eukaryota; Metazoa; Chordata; Actinopteri; Perciformes; Bathydraconidae. The transcript has 3 exons. The record is from RefSeq and is a predicted model, not a curated record.
GGCCCCAGCCUGGCCCCCCCAGUCACAUUGGUCUAGAACCGCCACUGCCCUGUAGACUAGAGUUUUUGAUCACUUAGAGCACUUUGGAGCAAAACAUAUACACAUAUUAGUGGGUACUUUUUGUUGUGCUAUUCACACUAUCCCAGAGAUUGACCACUGGUGGCAGCAAUGAAGCAAGGAACAUUACAUUUCAUUUAGCUGACGCUUUUAUCCAAAGCGACUUACUUCAUUUGACCAAGAAGAUACAAACUUGAAGAAAACAGAAUCAUAUAAGUACAUCAGGUUUCAUAGAGCCAAAAUAUUUCAAGUGCUACUCAACUGGCUUUAGAUAAGCCAGUCCUUUAUUAGUAUAUAAGUGCUUUGUUAGUAAUUGUAUCGCUCGAAGUGGAGUCGAAAGAGAUGAGUUUUCAGUCCGUGCCGAAAUGUGUAAGCUAACCUAGCAUGUUGCUAACAAAAUCAAAGAAGAAAAAGACUGCAAACAAGUGAAGGCUCUGCACCAGACAACCUGCAGCUAGCAGCAGGAGGUGGGAGAAAGACACUUCCAUGAACAUGAUUUCUCACGUUCUGCUCACCAACGCUUCCCCUCCCGCACAAAGAGCUUGGAAUGUGGACAAAAGAGAUUUUAUAAAAGACACGGAGGACAAAACGAGCCAUAAAACCCAUUUACAGGUGAAUUAGCAGGUUGUUACACUGCAGGACAUCACAGACAGAUGUUCUCACAGGAACAGUGAAGAGGCUGUUAACCCUUUGUGUUCAGAGACGUUCAGCAUGUAUGCAGAAAAAGGCCUUGAAGGUACAAUAUGUACGGCAAGGUGAGUUCAUGUACAUUUCCACACAAGGCCAUUUUAAGAGGAUGGAAAACAAAAAAUGCAUAUAUAAACACAAGAAGUAAAAGUAAGAAUGUGCAUGUGAGUAAAAAGUCAAAUCAUAAAAUAGAUUUAAAAGGAAAAAGUUAAGUAAUGCACAAAAUAUGUAUAUUACAAUGUUUACAGUGGUUUAAUUGUAUUACUAAAAUAUACUUAAUUGUCUUUUGACUGCCUGAAGCAUAAUAAUAUAAGAUAAGAUGUACUUUAUUGAUACCAAUUUGAGAAAUGUUUGCAUUGCAGAAGCAUAAAAGUCAAGGCAUUGCACAUAAGAGAAAUUCAAAUGAGUAAAAAUAAACAAUUCUAAAAUGUAAACAUCUCAAAAUCGAAAUAAAACAGCAUUCAAAAAGUCGAAAAUAUACAUGUUGAAAUACCAAUUUCCCCCAGCGACUGAAAAUUACACAUUGUGCGUUUAAAGUUAAUAAUCAGCUAUUUUACUACCCGUUAAACUGGCAAAGUCACAUUCCCAUGCUCCUUCAUACCUUCAGUUAAUUUUUUACGACCCAUCAUGAGCUUAUGGCCGUCUGCUUCACUUCCAAAAGGAUUUUCCCGCUUCUCUCCGGCUCUGUGGCGACAGCAGGGGUUCGAUUAGAUUACAUGAAACAUUAAUGAUCCCCGCGGGGAACCGACAUUGUACAUCAAAGGAAAAUAGGUUGAAAAGAAGAAGAAAGCAAACAUACAGCUAACAUCUCCAACAUGUAGUUACCGAUGUUUAAAUAGGUGACAGUAUAAUGAGUACGAGUAGACAUUUCCUCCAUUUAAAUAGCUUUCAUGAUGUCUUGUGAAUAAUUCUCGUGUUAGCAUAAAAGCAUUUGCUGAUCAGCAUUAAACACAAACAACUGAGACCAGACUGUUCUCAUACUCUGUACCUAUAUGAACUAAUGCACUAUAAUACAAAAAUAACCCACGUAAUUGUGAGCCAGGACAAGUGAUGUAGUGUAAAAAAUAUAAUACAGUAUGUCAGGAAGAAGGUUGUUGGAACGGGUGUGUCCAAAAAUACAGGACUUCCCGUGUCAAACCAAAAGUCAACAUUGACUUAUUUGUUGUGUAACUUUCGUACUUAAAGGGUGUUAUGUAGCUUGUUCUGCAUGUGAACGGUCUGCAGAGUCACAAACCCUCAAAGUACACCCUGUAGCGAGUAAAACUCUAACACAGAGAAGACCUGUCUGUGCUGCCCCAGAAUGCCUCGUUGGACAUUUCUCU